Non-coding RNA from Pimephales promelas (fathead minnow), 458 nucleotides. The record is from RefSeq and is a predicted model, not a curated record. NCBI's taxonomy places the organism in Eukaryota, Metazoa, Chordata, Actinopteri, Cypriniformes, Leuciscidae.
UUUAGUAACACUUGAGUCAUUACUAGUAGAAUACUGAAGAAUGGGAUGUCACCACUUCUUUUUCUGUCUGUUGAGAAAAAGCAACACCAGUGACUGAUCACAUCUUCUUUUCAUCAGUUAGGAGUUCCUCAGCCUCCACGUCUCAUGACCUGACUGCAUCAUCGAGGCCUCAAGAAAAAAAUUUGACUGCACAUACAAUAUGAAUCAAUUACAGAUUUAACUUUACAUACAGCAAAAGACACUGCAUCUAUUUGAGUAUAAUUGGUUAAUCCAGGAUGGACCUAAAAAAAAAAAACACUGUCUCUCAAAAUAUUUAACCUUACAGUUCAUUCAACAUUGUUAACACAGCUAUGAAGAUAUUUUCAUUCGAUCUUCACACUGUAUAGUCAGAAGGAUUAUCACAAAAGUAUUUGGGAAAUGAAAGUUUCCUAUAGUCUGUUUAAAGCUGUUUUGUAUUG